Molecule: long non-coding RNA, 1002 nt
Organism: Patella vulgata (common limpet)
Lineage: Eukaryota; Metazoa; Mollusca; Gastropoda; Patellidae
Exons: 5
Source: RefSeq, a predicted model, not a curated record
UAAAGAUGUAGAUGAUCUAGAUGAGUCUCUAAUUGGAGAGUUGUCAGAUGUUGAAAGAUAUCUGUUGAAGUCGCAGGAAAUGUUUGUUGUCCGGGGAAAGGGACACAGACCAGUUCUUGUUCUUAUACCACCAGAUGCAAAGAUUCCUGAAGGAAAUAAAUAUCUGUUUCCAAACAAAGCUUCCAGUUACACAAGAGCGUAUGACUCUCUGAAGAGAACAUGUGAUGAAUGUUGCCUUGUUGCUCCCGAUCGUAUCAACAGUGUAUCCAUGAGGAAGUACACGGCAACCCUUGCACAGAUCUAAUCUUCCAAGAAAAUGAAGAUGUUACAACAGAUGGUGAUAUGUCAAUUGUGGAUACUGUGGCAUCAGAAAACUUUACAGUAUCUGACAGACAGGAGUUCGAUGAAGCAGCAUUCUACCAAAGUUCAUCUGGAACAGAUGAGAAAGAUUUGGAAGAGAUUUCAGACAAAGAUUCGGAAGAGAUACAUGUACAAGACAAACGUAAAAUAAAAGCAAAAGUAAAACGUACCCUGUGGAAUGAUACAGAACUAUCAGAAUUGGAGAAGUAUUUUCAGGCCUAUUUUAAAACCAAGACAUGUCCACGAAAGAAAGCCAUCGAUUUAGCAAAAAAACAAAGUCGUGCCCGAAAAGGGAAACUUUGGAUGAGGUCAAAUGACAAAAUAGUUAAAAAAAUCAGUGCGAUGAACCAUAAAAAGUAAAGAUGGUUAAAGAUAUAGUUGGUGAUCUUUGUUUUUCUUUUUAAGGACAAAAGUUCAUACAGAUGUCAACCUUGUUUAAGAAAAUUAUGUAAAUCGUGUGAGACUAUGUGUACAAAUCAAGAAAUAACCAGUAAAGACUGUUUAUUGUUUAACAUGUAAAACCUGUAGAAUGCAAUAUGUAGGCCAAACCAUUAUUCCAUUCAGCACUCGACUUAAAAAGCACAGAAGUAAUAUAAAGCUUAAAAAACUUUGCCAUUCCCCCCAUGUAGCCCACCAUUUUAA